GGGCUGCAGUGGGGAAUAUUGGACAAUGGGCGCAAGCCUGAUCCAGCCAUGCCGCGUGAGUGAUGAAGGCCCUAGGGUUGUAAAGCUCUUUUAGCAGGGAAGAUAAUGACGGUACCUGCAGAAAAAGCCCCGGCUAACUUCGUGCCAGCAGCCGCGGUAAUACGAAGGGGGCUAGCGUUGUUCGGAUUUACUGGGCGUAAAGCGCACGUAGGCGGAUUGUUAAGUCAGAGGUGAAAUCCCAGGGCUCAACCCUGGAACUGCCUUUGAUACUGGCAAUCUUGAGUCCGAGAGAGGUGAGUGGAAUUCCUAGUGUAGAGGUGGAAUUCGUAGAUAUUAGGAAGAACACCAGUGGCGAAGGCGGCUCACUGGCUCGGUACUGACGCUGAGGUGCGAAAGCGUGGGGAGCAAACAGGAUUAGAUACCCCAGUAGUC
Molecule: ribosomal RNA, 432 nt
Filed under: uncultured Hyphomicrobiaceae bacterium
Lineage: Bacteria; Pseudomonadati; Pseudomonadota; Alphaproteobacteria; Hyphomicrobiales; Hyphomicrobiaceae
Description: bacterial SSU rRNA
Rfam family: Bacterial small subunit ribosomal RNA
Source: RNAcentral